Molecule: ribosomal RNA, 564 nt
Filed under: uncultured bacterium
Lineage: Bacteria
Description: partial 16S ribosomal RNA
Rfam family: Bacterial small subunit ribosomal RNA
Source: RNAcentral
UGGGGAAUAUUGCACAAUGGGCGAAAGCCUGAUGCAGCAACGCCGCGUGAGUGAUGAAGGCCUUCAGGUUGUAAAGCUCUGUCUUUUGGGACGAUAAUGACGGUACCAAAGGAGGAAGCCACGGCUAACUACGUGCCAGCAGCCGCGGUAAUACGUAGGUGGCAAGCGUUGUCCGGAUUUACUGGGCGUAAAGGAUGCGUAGGCGGAUUUUUAAGUGAGAUGUGAAAACCCUAAGCUUAACUUGGGGACUGCAUUUCAUACUGGAAAUCUAGAGUGCGGGAGAGGAGAAUGGAAUUCCUAGUGUAGCGGUGAAAUGCGUAGAGAUUAGGAAGAACACCAGUGGCGAAGGCGAUUCUCUGGACCGUAACUGACGCUGAGGCAUGAAAGCGUGGGUAGCAAACAGGAUUAGAUACCCUGGUAGUCCACGCCGUAAACGAUGAGUACUAGGUGUAGGAGGUAUCGACCCCGUUCUGUGCCGCAGUUAACACAAUAAGUACUCCGCCUGGGAAGUACGAUCGCAAGAUUAAAACUCAAAUGAAUUGACGGGGGUCAUAGCUGUUUUCC